Transfer RNA from Cladophialophora carrionii, 83 nucleotides. It matches the Rfam family "tRNA". Rfam says of the family: Transfer RNA (tRNA) molecules are approximately 80 nucleotides in length. Their secondary structure includes four short double-helical elements and three loops (D, anti-codon, and T loops). NCBI's taxonomy places the organism in Eukaryota, Fungi, Ascomycota, Eurotiomycetes, Chaetothyriales, Herpotrichiellaceae. The record is from Rfam.
GGUUGUGUAGUGUAGCGGUUAGCACACGGGAUUCUGAUCCACUGAACCUUCCCGUGACCCCGGUUCGAAUCCGGGCACGACCU